CGGAGGGUGCAAACGUUGCUCGGAAUCAUUGGGCGUAAAGCGCGCGUAGGCGGCUGGACAAGUUGGAUGUGAUAGCCCUGGGCUCAACCUAGGAUGUGCAUUCAAAACUGUUCGGCUUGAAUCUCGGAGGGGGUCAGAGAAUUCCCGGUGUAGAGGUGAAAUUCGUAGAUAUCGGGAGGAACACCAGUGGCGAAGGCGCUGACCUGGACGAUGAUUGACGCUGAGGCGCGAAAGCGUGGGGAGCAAACAGGAUUAGAUACCCUGGUAGUCCACGCCGUAAACGAUGAGUGCUAGACGCUGGCGGAUUGACCCCGUCGGUGUCGAAGCUAACGCGUUAAGCACUCCGCCUGGGGAGUACGGUCGCAAGACUA
Molecule: ribosomal RNA, 371 nt
Filed under: uncultured organism
Description: bacterial SSU rRNA
Rfam family: Bacterial small subunit ribosomal RNA
Source: RNAcentral